CUGUGCGGCAGUAGUUUCACGCCUGUGGCUCAAAGGGGGAGUUUGCUACAGGCCACCACACAGCAUCACCAGCAAGACGUCCUUCAGCCAUGGCAAGUUUGCCAGAACUUGUUCACCACCUGAAGACACCUGGGAGGCUGUCCUUUAUAAGCUCAUCAAGCAUGCAGACAAGUGAGAGACCGGAUGUGUGUAUCGCCAGAGGAGCGAAAAUCGUUCCAGCGUGGGCCCCUACCACCCCAAGGACCCACAUCUAAUCCAACAACACCCUGUGGAUUGGAGGAUGGAGCAAGCACAGUACUCCAAGGCACCAGAGAGGUACUCCAGGCCACCAUGUGUAGGACUGCUACAUAGGAGCCAUAAGGAAGAAUCCUUCCAACGGCAUGACAUUGACG
Long non-coding RNA from Esox lucius (northern pike), 392 nucleotides. RefSeq lists it as uncharacterized. The record is from RefSeq and is a predicted model, not a curated record. NCBI's taxonomy places the organism in Eukaryota, Metazoa, Chordata, Actinopteri, Esociformes, Esocidae. The transcript is spliced from 4 exons.